AAUAUUGCACAAUGGGGGAAACCCUGAUGCAGCGACGCCGCGUGAGCGAAGAAGGCCUUCGGGUCGUAAAGCUCUGUCCUAAGGGAAGAAACGGACGGUACCUUAGGAGGAAGCCCCGGCUAACUACGUGCCCGCAGCCGCGGUACUACGUAGGGGCCGAGCGUUAUCCGGAAUUAUCGGGCGUAAAGGGUGCGUAGGCGGCCUUUUAAGUCAGAUGUGAAAGGCUACGGCUUAACCGUAGUUAGCAUUUGAAACUAAAAGGCUUGAGUGCAGGAGAGGAGAGUGGAAUUCCUAGUGUAGCGGUGAAAUGCGUAGAGAUGUGGAGGAACACCAGUGGCGAAGGCGACUUUCUGGCCUACAACUGACGCUGAGGCGCGAAAGCGUGGGUAGCGAACAG
This 397-nucleotide ribosomal RNA is filed under the name uncultured bacterium. RNAcentral's name for it is "partial 16S ribosomal RNA". It matches the Rfam family "Bacterial small subunit ribosomal RNA", at positions 360 to 775 of the family's 1533-position model. The record is from RNAcentral.